AGAGUUUGAUCAUGGCUCAGAUUGAAGCGAUGGCGGGCAGGCCUAACACAUGCAAGUCGAGCGGUAGCACAGAGAGCUUGCUCUCGGGUGACGAGCGGCGGACGGGUGAGUAAUGUCUGGGAAACUGCCUGAUGGAGGGGGAUAACUACUGGAAACGGUAGCUAAUACCGCAUAAUGUCGCAAGACCAAAGUGGGGGACCUUCGGGCCUCAUGCCAUCAGAUGUGCCCAGAUGGGAUUAGCUAGUAGGUGGGGUAACGGCUCACCUAGGCGACGAUCCCUAGCUGGUCUGAGAGGAUGACCAGCCACACUGGAACUGAGACACGGUCCAGACUCCUACGGGAGGCAGCAGUGGGGAAUAUUGCACAAUGGGCGCAAGCCUGAUGCAGCCAUGCCGCGUGUGUGAAGAAGGCCUUCGGGUUGUAAAGCACUUUCAGCGGGGAGGAAGGCGAUAAGGUUAAUAACCUCAUCGAUUGACGUUACCCGCAGAAAGAAGCACCGGCUAACUCCGUGCCAGCAGCCGCGGUAAUACGGAGGGUGCAAGCGUUAAUCGGAAUUACUGGGCGUAAAGCGCACGCAGGCGGUCUGUCAAGUCGGAUGUGAAAUCCCCGGGCUCAACCUGGGAACUGCAUUCGAAACUGGCAGGCUAGAGUCUUGUAGAGGGGGGUAGAAUUCCCAGGUGUAGCGGUGAAAUGCGUAGAGAUCUGGAGGAAUACCGGUGGCGAAGGCGGCCCCCUGGACAAAGACUGACGCUCAGGUGCGAAAGCGUGGGGAGCAAACAGGAUUAGAUACCCUGGUAGUCCACGCCGUAAACGAUGUCGAUUUGGAGGUUGUGCCCUUGAGGCGUGGCUUCCGGAGCUAACGCGUUAAAUCGACCGCCUGGGGAGUACGGCCGCAAGGUUAAAACUCAAAUGAAUUGACGGGGGCCCGCACAAGCGGUGGAGCAUGUGGUUUAAUUCGAUGCAACGCGAAGAACCUUACCUGGUCUUGACAUCCACAGAACUUAGCAGAGAUGCUUUGGUGCCUUCGGGAACUGUGAGACAGGUGCUGCAUGGCUGUCGUCAGCUCGUGUUGUGAAAUGUUGGGUUAAGUCCCGCAACGAGCGCAACCCUUAUCCUUUGUUGCCAGCGGUUAGGCCGGGAACUCAAAGGAGACUGCCAGUGAUAAACUGGAGGAAGGUGGGGAUGACGUCAAGUCAUCAUGGCCCUUACGACCAGGGCUACACACGUGCUACAAUGGCAUAUACAAAGAGAAGCGACCUCGCGAGAGCAAGCGGACCUCAUAAAGUAUGUCGUAGUCCGGAUUGGAGUCUGCAACUCGACUCCAUGAAGUCGGAAUCGCUAGUAAUCGUAGAUCAGAAUGCUACGGUGAAUACGUUCCCGGGCCUUGUACACACCGCCCGUCACACCAUGGGAGUGGGUUGCAAAAGAAGUAGGUAGCUUAACCUUCGGGAGGGCGCUUACCAUACUGUAUCCACGUCCGG
RNAcentral lists this ribosomal RNA (1481 nucleotides) under uncultured Klebsiella sp. Its description in RNAcentral is "bacterial SSU rRNA". It matches the Rfam family "Bacterial small subunit ribosomal RNA". The record is from RNAcentral. Lineage: Bacteria; Pseudomonadati; Pseudomonadota; Gammaproteobacteria; Enterobacterales; Enterobacteriaceae.